AAUACUCAGAAUUGAUUAGGGAACAAAGCGAGCAUUCCGAGAACGUCAAAUUUAUAAAUAUUUCAAUUAGCAGUCUUGGAGUUUUUGCAAAAGAAUGCUUGACUUUCAUGGACAUGCUUAAUGAUCUUGGCUUCGAAAAAACCACCAAAAAUACUGCUUUAAACGAAUGACGACGAUUGCAAUCAGAACAACUUACUAUAUAUUUUGCUGCAGAAACAAAGAAUGGACAAAUCCGGAACUACUAACCUUUUAAAAAUUGUACUAUAUAUUUGUUGUUUGUUAUUAUUGUUAUAUUGUGUAUGUAUAGUUAUUAUUGAUUCAAGUAGACGGUUGUGAAUUACCUUAUAUAAGUGAGAUUUACAAUUGUAUGUAACUUUAAAAAUUCAUUAAUAAAGUUUCCAUUAUUAUUAUUAUUAUUAUUAUUAUUAUU
This is a non-coding RNA of Paramuricea clavata, 430 nucleotides long. NCBI's taxonomy places the organism in Eukaryota, Metazoa, Cnidaria, Anthozoa, Malacalcyonacea, Plexauridae. The record is from the annotation of a GenBank genome assembly.